GUCGUAACUUUCACAAUGAGCGUGUUCGUCGUCGCACCCGCCAGUGCCGACCGUCGUCGGCGAUGGUCGGCGGGACUCGGCGUACGUGAUCGGCGAUCUUCGUACGCUCGGUUACAAGGAUCGGCUGCUCUCGGUAGACACCCGCUCGUCAUGUCUGCUGGGUCACAAAUUCAGAUGGCACCCCAAACAACCGUAAACUCUGGUCAGACAGUUCAUAGUCAAGACUCGAACAUGAGCACUGGCUCAUCGCAUAGUGAUAAGGAGGUGGAUGCAAACACUCCGGAAAAAGUACCACGGACUACUUCUGAGAGGAAAAGAAAACGUAAAGCCGAUGAUGGAGGUGGAGGUGUCGCAGGUGGCUCUGUAGCUAGUAAGGGUGCUAGAUCAGUUGCUGCUCUUGAUAAUAAGAAGAUCAAUGAGUAUUUUCCAAAGCAUCAUCUGGGCAAUAGCCCUAUUCGGCACGGUGGAGCCAAGAGCCCUUCCCCUCAACAGGGUUAUCCUAUGUACCCACCAUCGCCACAACAGUUACUUUCGCCACAAGUAACAACACCUAAUUCUUCGGUGGCGGAAUUCUCUUCGUUGAUGCAGCCACCGAGACCUCAUCCUCAACCUCCACCACCUCCUCCACCAGCUUCGUCGCAACCUGCAGGCUCUAUGGUCAGCAAGCAGGUGCAGGUAAGGCCUACCAACCUCAAUAGGACAAGCCAGGUCAGGCAAGCGAAGACUAACACCCCAAAUACAGAACUUACUUGCCAGAGGAUACAGGAAUUUGAAACUCAAGCCUCUUCAGACUUAGAACUACGUAACAAUAAAAUUGACGAGUUAAAUAGGACAACGGACGAACUUAGGCAUCAAAUCGCUAAUCAACAGAAAGUGCUUGAGCAGCACAAAUCACAUAUAAAUAAGUGUAUAGACGUUGUAAAGAAGUUAUUAAAAGAAAAAUCAAACAUAGAAAAAAAGGAGGCUAGGCAGAAGUGUAUGCAAAAUAGACUGAGGUUGGGCCAGUUUGUGACGCAAAGGGUGGGUGCGACGUUUCAAGAGAACUGGACCGACGGUUAUGCAUUUCACGAGCUUGCACGACGGCAAGAGGAAAUAGCAACGGAACGAGAGGAGAUCGACAAGCAGAAGAAGCUGCUACUCAAGAAGAGGCCGUCGAACAGUGAGACAGGCAGGAAACGUAGUCAACCACAACCUUCCUUGCAUAACGGUACCGAGGCGACAUUUUUGAAGCCAGAUGCAGUACCUGGGUCGUAUACGUGGCAGGAGUAUUAUGAAGCUGAUGAAAUACUCAAGUUGAGGCAAAGUGCGUUGAAAAAGGAAGACGCAGAUUUGCAACUAGAAAUGGAAAAACUCGAAAGGGAGCGAAAUUUACACAUUAGAGAGUUAAAGCGAAUUCACAAUGAGGACCAAUCGAGAUUUAACUCUCAUCCUGUUUUGAAUGAGCGAUAUCUCUUACUAAUGUUGUUAGGAAAAGGCGGUUUCAGUGAAGUGCAUAAGGCAUUUGACUUAAAAGAGCAACGGUACGUGGCUUGUAAGGUGCAUCAAUUAAAUAAAGACUGGAAAGAAGACAAGAAGGCUAAUUACAUAAAACAUGCAUUGCGAGAAUAUAAUAUACACAAAGCACUUGAUCAUCCUCGAGUCGUAAAAUUGUACGACGUAUUUGAAAUUGAUGCCAAUUCCUUUUGUACUGUUCUGGAAUAUUGUGAUGGCCAUGAUUUAGAUUUUUACCUCAAGCAGCAUAAGACUAUACCCGAAAGAGAAGCGAGAUCUAUUGUUAUGCAAGUCGUAUCGGCAUUAAAAUACCUCAAUGAAAUAAAACCCCCAGUCAUACAUUACGAUCUAAAACCAGGUAACAUCCUGUUAACCGAAGGCAAUGUGUGUGGUGAAAUAAAAAUCACGGAUUUCGGUUUAAGUAAAGUGAUGGACGAGGAAAAUUAUAAUCCGGAUCACGGAAUGGAUCUAACGUCCCAAGGAGCGGGUACUUAUUGGUACCUACCUCCUGAAUGCUUCGUCAUUGGCAAAAAUCCUCCUAAAAUAUCGUCCAAGGUUGACGUGUGGAGUGUAGGAGUUAUAUUUUAUCAAUGUCUAUACGGUAAAAAGCCUUUUGGUCACAAUCAAUCGCAAGCCACCAUUUUAGAGGAGAAUACGAUACUAAAAGCCACCGAAGUCCAGUUCGCGAAUAAACCAACCGUCAGCAACGAAGCAAAGAGUUUCAUAAGAAGUUGCCUAGCGUAUAGGAAGGAAGAACGUAUAGACGUACUGACACUAGCUAGACACGAAUACCUGCAACCCCCAGUGCCAAAACAUGGCCGCCAAGCGAACAGCCAGCAGCAGCAGCAACAACAACAGAUCCAGCAGCAGCAACAGAGCUCGUUCAAUAUCGGCAUGUUUAGUGGUAUGAACGCGUCGAGCAGUUCGUAGUGGAGAGGAAGAACUAAGGACAAAAUCCUCGAUAUAUACCAAUACAUGCCAAAUCUUGAGCGCUCGGACUGUGUACACCAUCUCAUCUUAGGGAAAUAACGAUUGCUAUAACCAAUUGAUCGACUACAUAGGACAUUGCAAGAGAGAUGCGAGACUGGUCACCCGCAAGUCCAGGAGCUUGCGUCUUUCUACAAGCCACGCCACAUUAUUCAGCAUGACAAGAAACAAUGUUGUGUUCGUAAAUAUUCAAUUGUAUUAUCGUUCCUUGUAUCAAACAGUGCGAUGACUUGAUAAUAGUGUUUAAAAGAAACAAGAGAGCGAGAGAGAACGAACGAGCGUGCGAACGAGAAAAUAACAUGUGAUAAGUCAUUACGAGAUAAAAGUGACGUCUAGAAUAAGAGGGGAGGGGGGAAAUAGAGCAUGUAUGAAAGAGAGAAAGAAAGCGCAAGAGCAUCAAGUAAAAUGAAUUUUUUUUUCGAUGGAAGCAAAAUAAAGUUGAUGAGAUAAAGGAAGCAACGAAGAAUAGGAGAAAAAAGUAGGAAGAAGUUGAGAAAAGCAAUCGGAGCAAUCGCUUUCACGGAGAUGACGUUUCUCUCUCCCAGCGUUUUAGUGUGCGUGAGCGAACGAUAGAGGAUUGUUAAAAUUAGUGUGAGUGUAUAUAUUUAUACUAUAUAUAUAAAUAUAUAUAUAUAUAUAAACUAAUAAAUUCGACAUAAUAUAUAUAUAUAUGGUGUAAAAAGAACGACGACGACAAGCAUUGACAGUGGGAAGACAACUGUGGUGGCUCUAUCCUCGCAUGACCUCCGGCGCCGGUACCGGCAUUCCAUGAAUGCUCGGCCCGUGCAUCAUGUUACUUUAUUCGAAUAUUAACAUUAUUACCUGUAUCAUGACUAAUAACGGUUAACAUACACGCGCAUCCACGCCCACAUACGAAAACACAUACACGACACGAGUACACGAAGGAGAUUUGAUUGGUUGUUCCUAUUCUGAGACGAGAGUGGGCUUUAUCUAUAAUGCCGGAACGAUAGUCCGAUAGAGAGCGAAGUGAGAAUCGUAUAGAAAAAACAAGAGUGUAUGUGUGUGAGAAAGAGAGAGAGAGAGAGAGUCGCGAUGUGCUCCCAAAGUGAAUUAAAAAAAAGCAUCGUAGUCCACCACUUAUCAUCACCACUUGUAAAACCCGUUCUCACGCGUGUAUCGUUUAAAACCCCGUGUCGAUUCGCUGUAACGAAGCCACGCAUUACGUUUUUCCUCCUUCACUCUUCCUCCUUUUUUCUUCUCUCCUCUCUUUUCUCUCUCUUUUUUCUCUAAAAUUAGAGAGAUAGAGAAAAGGAGAGCGAGAGAAAGAGAAAGCGCGGAUCCAAAUGUAUGUGUACAGAGCAAGUUUAAAGAAACGGUUAAAUGAUUUAUAAUUAAUUAAUCAGACGAGAAGUACGGGAAAAAUAUGACGAGGAUAAGGAAAAACGAGCAAAUCUUUAAGAUAAGAAAGUCCGUGAAAUGCUAUACCGACCCAAUCAUUAUUUCUUUACUCGUAAUUUGUUUUAUAUAUGUACGUUAUAUAUAGAUAAUUAUGAAAUAGAAAACUAAGUUAUUUUAUCAAGUGCCCUUGCUUUGUAUUAUAGUCGCGUCCGUCGGCGAGCCGUAGCUUCUGGGAGUAAAAGAAAGAGAGAGAAAGAGAGAAUGAAGAGAGAAUGUGUUGAGAGCGAAAGUGAGAUUAAAGCGAGCGAGUGUGUGUGUUGUUAAAAUAUUGCGUCAGUUAUUGGUACAAUGUGGGCACCGGGGUAUUGAUGACAAUUCAAUACCAUCAAUGUGAUUGGCAGAAGUGUGGUGAGAGAGGAGAAUACAUUACAAGUCUGAACAGAGUCUACUACUUAGAUCCGUCGCUUCAAUUUUGAAAAAAAAAAAGAUCAACCGUUCCUGCAUCCCGCAUCCCAUUUUUUUCGCGAAAAAACGCGAGUGCGCUCUUUUUUUAUUUUACACGCGCGAUGUGUCGCAUUAAUCGUGCUCAUUAAUGCUCUUUGAGGUGACAUGAUUCCAAAGGGAUAUAAUUCGCGUUGCAAUUCGACAGUUUUCCUCUACGAAGUAGAUUUCCGAAAUUCUUUUCGCUGAUAAGGAAGAGAAGGGGGGAGGGAGGAGUAUUAACGCGAUUAAUAAAAUGUAAAAAUUGUUAUCUGCAUUGUUUCUCCAUUAUAUCAUUUUCGAUGAACCUAGAUUGAGUAAAGCUUAUCUCUAAAAGUUUACUGCAGCCGGCCUUCAAAAAAUUAUUCGAAGAUGUAAUUUGCCAAACGUUUAACGCCUUCGAGAUCUCUCGUGGUGAAUGAUGAACAUUUACGCGAGAAUACAUAGGAUUCGUAUACUUUGCGACAGGAAGGAUAAUUUUACAUUUAUACAUAUCUAUAUGGAAUUCUCUGUGAAACGUAAUCGGUGAAUGCAAUCACGUGCAUGUAAAAUAGAAACGGAAAAAUUAAAAAAAAAAAGGAUUUUAUCGAAAACUUUUCACUGAGCACAAAUAGAAAGAAAAAUACCUUCCCAUCGACUAUAAGGUAUUGCCAUGAUCUACAUACUAUUAUAAUAUCCGUAAUACUAAA
RNAcentral lists this unclassified non-coding RNA (5006 nucleotides) under Acromyrmex echinatior (Panamanian leafcutter ant). RNAcentral's name for it is "serine/threonine-protein kinase tousled-like 2, transcript variant X9". Lineage: Eukaryota; Metazoa; Arthropoda; Insecta; Hymenoptera; Formicidae. The record is from RNAcentral.